AGGAGCGACCCUCUCUGGCAGUCACCCCGGAAAAGAAAGGACAGGGCCUGGCAUCCCCAAGCAGGUGUAUAAACUGCUCUCGGUGAAUGCUUUUCCGGCUUUCCAGGAGACAAAGACUCAGCCGACUUCUCAAAAAGGAGCUCAACAUUUGUAGCAGUAGCAGGGUUGGGUCGCGGACGUUGAGCGGAGAGACCAGGCGUAAUUUUACGUUCUGUCAAAAGAAUCAUUGCAGUGCGAGUACCCGUAUACUAGAUAAAAAUACCUACUGAGAAAAACCAGUUAGUGUUACGCUUCUGGUAACGAACACCGAUUACUGAGCUUUUUCAUGGACAGUCAUGUGCAUAUCGCUUGGAAUACCGAGUGUCUGGCAAAGUUACAGAGAGGCAGAGGCAGAGAGAGGUCUUCCAUCUACUGGUCCACUCCCCAGAUGGCUGCAACGGCCAGAGCUGCACCUAUCUGAAGCCAGGAGCCAGGAGCUUCUUCCAGGUCUCCCACGGUGAAAAACUCAAGCCUCUGUGAAUUCUGCUUCAAAGUACUAGGAAGAGCCGACACUGAAGGAUCACAAUAGCUGUGUGGCUGUGAAUACUUAGUGCCACAAACCAGUAAUCCCUGUGACAAUUUUCCUGCACAUCCUGCUUCAAACCAAAAGUGUCUGUGUAAGUGUUUACAGGAGAUGAUAAUGGAACCAAGGCCUUCACCAACCUGGUGGUCAACCAAAUGCUGCUACAGGGAUAUACUUGGCUCCUCACCUGGGAGACAGCGGGCUUGAGACAUCGCCCCAUGCCAGCGAAGAGUACCUCAUCACCCCAUGUCAGCAGGAAGUAGCUCUAAACACAGAUCAUCGUCCUUCUACCCCUCCUGGACUUUUGGGACUAAUGUAAUCCUGUACAACUCCUGCUUUAUAAAAAACAAAAGGGGGAAUGUUAGAAAACUGGCACAGUCUUAUCUAUGGUGUGAUCUACACUCUGACACCAUCCUAGGCUGUAGCCCCCGCCGCCAUUGCUGGAAACCAAGUGGCCACAUGGCCCAACCACCAGUGUCAAGCUCCACCCCCAUCCUAAUGGGAUUGGCUGCUCUUACAUCCCUGCCCACCCCCUGGCAAAGUUUUAAAAAUGACCUGCUCCUGAACACGUGUCUUCCUCCUCUCUCUCCUCUCUUUCUCCUUCUCUCCGUCUCCUGAUCUCUCUGUCUCUUGAUCUCUCUUAUGUUCUCCUUCUGCCUCUUUGACCUUCUUUGCCCCUUCUCUCUGGUCUGCUGGGUUUUCUCCAAUAAACCCUUUCCCUUAAAAAUAAAUAAAUAAAAAUUAAAAAAUCUCUCUGCUUGCCUGCUUGGAAAUUCUUACAUGUGAGAUGAAGAACUGAGAUAAUAAUAUUCUCUCCGCUGACAUUUCACCCAUAACAAUAGUUUAGCAGGGUCAGCGUUGUGGCAUAACAGAUAAAGCCACCACCUGUGAUGCCAGCAUCUCAUGUGGGCACUGGUUUGCAUCC
Molecule: non-coding RNA, 1487 nt
Organism: Oryctolagus cuniculus (rabbit)
Lineage: Eukaryota; Metazoa; Chordata; Mammalia; Lagomorpha; Leporidae
Source: RefSeq, a predicted model, not a curated record